GGAAGGAAUCGUGCAGCAGUUUAAAGUUUCUCUGUUUAUUCUGGUGUUUACAGGAUGUUCAAGUUAGUGAUACUGUUCCUGACACUGUCAGGCCUCCAAGCUGCCCCACUUGCAGUCCCAAGAAGUUUGCAGAAGACAUCUUCAACCUAUAAGCUCCCUGAUGGCUUUCACCAGGGCACUGAACACUCCGACAUCCAUGAACCUGUUCCUAGGGGCUUCCGACAAGGUACAGAGCCCUCCAGGAGGUUCCUUGUUGACCUCAACACAGGCCUGGUGCAGGAACACAUCAGUGAGAUGGACAGGAGAGUGGGUAAGUAUAUAUUCAAACCUAAUCAAGAAAUAACUACCUAAGCCAGUUUUACAUUUUUACAUUUCCACUUCUAGCUUCCAUCCGUCCUUCUCUGGAAGAGGGAUUUGGAGAGAUGGAGAGAAGACACUGGCUGACAGACGAG
This 452-nucleotide long non-coding RNA is filed under the name Sander lucioperca (pikeperch). RNAcentral's name for it is "lncRNA (ENSSLUG00000025694.1)". Lineage: Eukaryota; Metazoa; Chordata; Actinopteri; Perciformes; Percidae. The record is from RNAcentral.